Molecule: ribosomal RNA, 495 nt
Filed under: uncultured bacterium
Lineage: Bacteria
Description: partial 16S ribosomal RNA
Rfam family: Bacterial small subunit ribosomal RNA
Source: RNAcentral
GAUGAACGCUGGCGGCGUGCCUAAUACAUGCAAGUCGAACGCUGAAGGAGGAGCUUGCUCUUCUGGAUGAGUUGCGAACGGGUGAGUAACGCGUAGGUAACCUGCCUGGUAGCGGGGGAUAUCUAUUGGAAACGAUAGCUAAUACCGCAUGACAACAGUUAUUGCAUGAUAACUGUUUAAAAGGGGCAACUGCUCCACUACCAGAUGGACCUGCGUUGUAUUAGCUAGUUGGUGAGGUAACGGCUCACCAAGGCGACGAUACAUAGCCGACCUGAGAGGGGGAUCGGCCACACUGGGACUGAGACACGGCCCAGACUCCUACGGGAGGCAGCAGUAGGGAAUCUUCGGCAAUGGACGGAAGUCUGACCGAGCAACGCCGCGUGAGUGAAGAAGGUUUUCGGAUCGUAAAGCUCUGUUGUAAGAGAAGAACGAGUGUGAGAGUGGAAAGUUCACACUGUGACGGUAUCUUACCAGAAAGGGACGGCUAACUACGUG